This is a long non-coding RNA of Chelonia mydas (Green sea turtle), 189 nucleotides long. RefSeq lists it as uncharacterized. Lineage: Eukaryota; Metazoa; Chordata; Testudines; Cheloniidae. The record is from RefSeq and is a predicted model, not a curated record. The transcript is spliced from 3 exons.
GCUGAAGCAUGAAGAACUGUGACCAAAUGUCAAGCCUGAUUCCCCACUCUGGCACUUCAAGUUCAGAAGGUGGGGGCCCCUCAAGUAUUCUAAAAACUAAUACUGGCCACUCCAGGCUUGUAUUAAACUCCCAAGGUUACAGCUUCUCUCUGACCUUGAAUUGGUAGAUGUUGCCAACACCCAAGUGCA